RNAcentral lists this ribosomal RNA (253 nucleotides) under uncultured bacterium. RNAcentral's name for it is "partial 16S ribosomal RNA". It matches the Rfam family "Bacterial small subunit ribosomal RNA", at positions 524 to 776 of the family's 1533-position model. The record is from RNAcentral.
GACAGAGGUGCCAAGCGUUAGGCGGAAUCACUGGGCUUAAAGCGUGUGUAGGCGGAUUGGUAAGUACCUUGUGAAAUCCCACGGCUCAACCGUGGAACUGCUUGGUAUACUGCCUGUCUUGAGCCACUUAGGGGCAGCCGGAACAAGCGGUGGAGCGGUGAAAUGCGUAGAUAUCGCUUGGAACGCCGAAGGUGAAAACAGGCUGCUGGGGUUGCGCCGACGCUGAGACACGAAAGCCAGGGGAGCAAACGGG